AGGUGCUCCGCAACCGUCUGUGCCACCCAGAGCCGGCGGGCCGCUAGGUCCCCGGAGACCCUGCUAUGGUACGCGCGGGCGCCGUGGGGGCUCAUCUCCCCGCGUCCAGCUUGGAUAUCUUCGGGGACCUGAAGAAGAUGAACAAGCGCCAGCUCUAUUACCAGGUUUUAAACUUCGCCAUGAUCGUGUCUUCUGCACUCAUGAUAUGGAAAGGCUUGAUCGUGCUCACGGGCAGUGAGAGCCCCAUCGUGGUGGUGCUGAGUGGCAGUAUGGAACCGGCCUUUCACAGAGGAGACCUCCUGUUCCUCACAAAUUUCCGGGAAGACCCAAUCAGAGCUGGUGAAAUAGUUGUUUUUAAAGUUGAAGGACGAGACAUUCCAAUAGUUCACAGAGUAAUCAAAGUUCAUGAAAAGUAAAGAGGCUUUAUUUCUUUUUGGUUUUGUUUUGUAAAUUUUUGGUAGAUUCAUGGCUAAUUAGAAACUAGUAAAAGCACUGGAUUAUGUUCUGAGUUCUGCCAUUGACUCACUGGGUGACUUUGGACCAAAUGCUUAACUCUUCCUGUAGGAUGGGAGUUGUAGUAGUUAAACCCAUAGUAACUCACGAAAUGAUUAUGAGAAUUAAAUGAACUAAUGUUUACUAAAGCAAUUCAGGAACUUAAAUUGCUGCACAAAUAUAAGGUAUGAUGUAUUAUGACAUGUUAGUUAUUUGAAGGAGCUCAAAGAAAAUCAAGUCACAUUGCAACAGAGGAUGGUUUUGAUAUGAAAAUUAUUUUCUGAAAUGCAAAAAAAGCUAGCUGUUUUUCUAUGUUACUUUGGCCAAACUCAUCUCAUGAUUUGGUCAUUGCAUAUUCUGCAUUACUUUUCCACCGCCCCAUCCCCUACUCCCCAAACAGCCUUGCUGUUAAUACCAGCUGUGACUUACUUAUGAAGACCCUUUUCUGGAACCGGAAACAUUUACUUCUUGCUCAAAUAUAUAAAGUUACCAUGAGAGAGUACUUCACAUGAUUAGUAAAAAUGUUACAUUUCAUAUACUUG
RNAcentral lists this small RNA (1034 nucleotides) under Pan troglodytes (chimpanzee). RNAcentral's name for it is "retained intron". The record is from RNAcentral. Lineage: Eukaryota; Metazoa; Chordata; Mammalia; Primates; Hominidae.